UGACAGGAAUAAUCAGGGUUAGUCUAA
RNAcentral lists this non-coding RNA (27 nucleotides) under Homo sapiens (human). Lineage: Eukaryota; Metazoa; Chordata; Mammalia; Primates; Hominidae. The record is from RNAcentral.